AAGAGGACUUGAAAAAGACCUAGAGCAAAACCAUGUUAAUGGAAACCAGCUAUGUGGGUCUGACAGUCAAUGCUUUUGGUAAACUGUAAUCUGUGGCCUAUCUACAGGGAAGUGAUUCUCCAAAAGAGCAUUCAAGCAGCACAGAUCACCCCAGCAGUGCUAUCUGCUCCCUCCUCCUGAGCUUGCCAAGAUUUGGGGGUUUUGCUUAGGCUUCCCCAUUCCUCGAUCCUAAAGCACUCCAAGCAAAUAAUGUUGGUACUGUUUAUCCCUACAUGCAAUGUGCCAUAUGAAAUCUUGAGAAAGUUGCCCAUGUCAGUCUAUUUUGUUUUUUAAAAAGGAUGAUUAUAAAAUAAAGUGAACAUCUGAAUCUCUGGCCAAGUGAACCUCAGCCUCCCUUAUAAACCUCAAUAUGCUCAUCUUCAUUUACUACGAAGCAAUAACUCUUCAAAUUCUUAAGCAAAUAAUACAAUAUUCAUUGCAAUCUGGAUCUCCCUACAUGUCUUUCAUUGAUCAACUGUCAAGGACGUUAAGGAGAUUCUCAAGACUCCUCAAAAGUUGGGGGCGUGUGUGUAAGGGGAGAGAUUUGUGACCAAUUAAAAUGCAGGAAAGUUAAAUAACAUUUCCAACUUCCUGGUUUGAGGCACAAACACAUUUGGUGUUGAAGGAAAAGGAUCAGGAAGAAACAAAACUAUAAUUUAUAGCUUAAGUAUGGUCAUGGGACAGGAAAUAAUGUGUGGCACUUACAAAUUCCAUGUCCAAGCCAGGAAAAGCAAAACAGAAACAAGGACCAAGAGGGUGGUAGUUAACCUAGAAAGACUGAGGACUAAGGAAGUCCCUACUGCUGACCGAGCCCAUACCAAGCAAAACCAGCAAGUGACAAGCAGCUCUCAACCCCUUUGGCUUCCUGCCUACCCUGAGAUAUUCUUCCCAAUAAUUCAAAUCUAAAAGGUUUUGAGCAGCAUGGGAAUUAAAAAAGAAAAGAAAAACCCACCUCUGUGAAAGAGUGGCUUAUAUACAGGUGAUCGUUUUGGAUGGCACACCUUAGCAUUACUAAGUUAAUGCAUCAGAAAGGUCGCAAACCCAUCCUCUGUAAAUCGGGACAGAACUGUGCCCUCUACUUGUUUUCUGCCCGAGCUUCAUUCUUGACUUCUGAAGUUAAUUUUAAUGGUUUAAGCCCUUCCUCUCUGUUUCCAAGAGUUUUGUUUAACUUUCUUUUAUCCCCCACUCACACCCUGACAGAUUAUGGUAUGAAAUAACAAAAAGUCCAUCGACUUUGAAAUCAGAUAGACCUGGGUUUAAAUCAGAUAGACCUGAUGCUUCAUCUCUGAAUCUUAUCUGUAAGCUUCUGCAAAAUGGACUAGUAAUAACUACUCCUGAAGUUCUUCUGAGUGUUAAAUGAGAUAAUGUAUGGAAACAUAUCAUGUCUGUUGUAGUAGAUAUGCUACAGUGACACAGCACACCUACUCCAGGACAAAUCAUUCAUGCCUCGGAUAGUAUCUGGAACAGUUAGCUACUUAACUGCAAUCAUCUUCUCAAUACAUUUACCAAAAUACAGAAAAGUGCCAUGCAUCAGUUACUUGUGAAAAUUCUAUCUCCAGUCCCGAUCUCUCUCCCUUGAGUUAGAGCCCUGGAUUUGUGGCUACUUCGUGAAUAUUACUAUCUACUAGUGACUUUAGAAUUGGCUAGAAUUCAUUUUAUGCCAUUGCUAUUAGAAAUAGGAAAGCAGACCUCAACACAUGAAUUCAUUUGGCCUUUGUUAUAUAUACAUAGACAGGAUAGGAAGUAGGACUUAGGUCACCCACCUCUCUAUUUCCUGUAUUUCUCUAAGUGCUUCUUGAUGUCUCUCCACCAGCUGGACCACAUAGAAAAGCAAAUUUAUCACCACACUUCCUCCAAAAUUAGCUCCCCCUCUGGACUUAUUUCUGUUAAUUGAACCUUAAUUUUCCUGGUCUGAUUCAGGACUUGCAAUGUCCUUGGCAAGAUUUUCUGCCUUCUUCUACACCCACCCACCAGUCCCUGCAUCCAUUUGUUACCAAACUACCAUAAUUUCGUCUUUCACAAAGUCUCCUGUCUAUCCUUUCCUUUUAGUUUCACCUUGACAGCACACUCUAGAACCUCAUUACCUCACACCAGGACAAAGGGGUCCUACCUAGACGCCCUUCCACCUGCCCAUCUAAUCCCAAACACUCUGUGCACACUGCCACUUUCACCAUCCCAUAUCCACGCUUCGCAGAGACACCUGCAAAAACACUUGCAAUGCAAGACUCAGCCACAACUGAGCCUCAGAGUGUGACAUCUAGGGGACACCUUGACAAAGAACCACAGGAGAAACCAAAGAGAUCCAACAUUCCGCUGCUGCCAGGUGUUGAGGAAAUGCACACACCCUCAUGAGAGAGACACAAACCAUCACAGAGCAUCAGAAGUGGAUGAAACUUCUUGGCCUGGAGAAUUAAAAAAAAAAAAAAAAGAAAGAAAGGAAAGCACUGUGAGACUUUUGCCCCAUCACAGAUUGAAGGAAAAGGUGAAAAAAACAGAAUGUAGAAGUCAUAAAACUGCAGAGGCCUAUUAUCUAAACAUCUGACAUGACAUUGCCCCAUCUUAUAACUGAAGUUCUCAAGACUGAGUGAAAAAAUCAAGAAAGAACAUGUGUUCUGAGAUAGCAUCAAUAGUAUGUUCUUUCUGUAAAUAAAGCACAUUAAUGUACUGAAUAAGAUGGAUUUCAAAAUUUGGUAA
This 2733-nucleotide long non-coding RNA is filed under the name Homo sapiens (human). RNAcentral's name for it is "HSALNT0299643". Lineage: Eukaryota; Metazoa; Chordata; Mammalia; Primates; Hominidae. The record is from RNAcentral.